GUCCCUGUGGCUCAGUUGGUAGAGCAUGGUGUGUGCAACGCCAGGGUUGUGGGUUCGUAUUCCCACGUGGGGCC
Molecule: transfer RNA, 74 nt
Filed under: Salmo salar (Atlantic salmon)
Lineage: Eukaryota; Metazoa; Chordata; Actinopteri; Salmoniformes; Salmonidae
Rfam family: tRNA
About the family: Transfer RNA (tRNA) molecules are approximately 80 nucleotides in length.
Source: Rfam by way of RNAcentral